This 651-nucleotide ribosomal RNA is filed under the name Peroryctes raffrayana (Raffray's bandicoot). RNAcentral's name for it is "partial 12S ribosomal RNA". The record is from RNAcentral. Lineage: Eukaryota; Metazoa; Chordata; Mammalia; Peramelemorphia; Peroryctidae.
AAUAACUCGCCAGAGAACUACUAGCAAAUGCUUAAAACUCAAAGGACUUGGCGGUGCCCUAAACCCAUCUAGAGGAGCCUGUUCUAUAAUCGAUAAACCCCGAUAUACCUCACCUUCUUUUGCCAAUACAGUCUAUAUACCGCCAUCGUCAGCUCACCCCACAGGGGACAAAAAGUAAGCAUAACUAUUACCCAUAAAAACGUUAGGUGCAAGGUGUAACAUAUAAGAAGGCAAAGAAUAUGGGCUACAAUUCUCUAUAUUUAGAGAACAACGAAUUCAUCUUAUGAAAUAUAAAAUGUUUGAAGGAGGAAUUCAGUANUAAACUAAGNNAAAAGGAGCCGGUAUCAGGCACACUAUAAGUAGCCCACAACACCUUGCUAAACCACACCCCCACGGGAAACAGCAGUGACUAACAUUAAGCUAUAAACGAAAGUUUGACUAAGUCAUAAUUAUUUUAGGGUUGGUAAAUUUCGUGCCAGCCACCGCGGUCAUACGAUUAACCCAAAUUAAUAGACCAACGGCGUAAAGCGUGUUUAAACUAUUAUUUCCAAUAAAGUUAAUACUUAACUAAACUGUAAUAAGUUGUUGUUAAUACUAAAAUACACUACCAAAGUGACUUUACUUAUGUUGAACACACGACAGCUAAGGCAC